GAUAAGGUUAAGUGAAUAAGGGCGCACGGUGGAUGCCUUGGCACUAGGAGCCGAUGAAGGACGGGACUAACACCGAUAUGCUUUGGGGAGCUGUAAGUAAGCUAUGAUCCAGAGAUUUCCGAAUGGGGGAACCCAAUAUCUUUUAUAGGAUAUUACUUUUCAGUGAAUACAUAGCUGAUUAGAGGUAGACGCAGAGAACUGAAACAUCUUAGUACCUGCAGGAAGAGAAAGAAAAUUCGAUUCCCUGAGUAGCGGCGAGCGAAACGGGAAGAGCCCAAACCAACAAGCUUGCUUGUUGGGGUUGUAGGACUCCAAUAUGGUAGUCUGUUAGUAUAGUUGAAGGAUUUGGAAAAUUCCGCUAAAGAGGGUGAAAGCCCCGUAGACGAAAUGCUAACAACACCUAGGAGGAUCCUGAGUACGGCGGAACACGAGAAAUUCCGUCGGAAUCCGCGGGGACCAUCCCGCAAGGCUAAAUACUCCCUAGUGACCGAUAGUGAACCAGUA
This 504-nucleotide ribosomal RNA is filed under the name Enterococcus faecalis. RNAcentral's name for it is "partial 23S ribosomal RNA". It matches the Rfam family "Bacterial large subunit ribosomal RNA", at positions 1 to 500 of the family's 2925-position model. Lineage: Bacteria; Bacillati; Bacillota; Bacilli; Lactobacillales; Enterococcaceae. The record is from RNAcentral.